UACGUAGGUCCCGAGCGUUGUCCGGAUUUAUUGGGCGUAAAGCGAGCGCAGGUGGUUUAUUAAGUCUGGUGUAAAAGGCAGUGGCUCAACCAUUGUAUGCAUUGGAAACUGGUAGACUUGCGUGCAGGAGAGGAGAGUGGAAUUCCAUGUGUAGCGAUGAAAUGCGUAGAUAUAUGGAGGAACACCGGUGGCGAAAGCGGCUCUCUGGCCUGUAACUGACACUGAGGCUCGAAAGCGUGGGGAGCAAACAGG
This 252-nucleotide ribosomal RNA is filed under the name uncultured bacterium. RNAcentral's name for it is "partial 16S ribosomal RNA". It matches the Rfam family "Bacterial small subunit ribosomal RNA", at positions 524 to 776 of the family's 1533-position model. The record is from RNAcentral.